This is a long non-coding RNA of Zea mays, 380 nucleotides long. RefSeq lists it as uncharacterized. The record is from RefSeq and is a predicted model, not a curated record. NCBI's taxonomy places the organism in Eukaryota, Viridiplantae, Streptophyta, Magnoliopsida, Poales, Poaceae. The transcript is spliced from 2 exons.
UGGCAACGGGUCGGGUUCGGGUCGGGUGGAGAAAAAACCCACCCGCGACCGCACCCGCGGAAUAAGCCCAAACCCGCCCGCGACCACACCCGCGGGUGAAAUCCCACACCCGCACCCGCACCCGUCGGGUUUCGGGUGGGUUUCGGGUCCCCGUCGGGUGUGCGUGCUGUGACCAGCAGACCGGCUGACGCCAGGUGAAGGCCCACUGGCCCAGCAGCAAAAAACAGUUCACAGCAGCACUCGUCGGUGUAGCUGCACUUGAGGAACCUCCUGCAACCACAGCACUGCUCUUUGUGGGAACUUGACGACUGCUCCUGCUCGGCCUCGAAGCACCUUGGUCAGACAUCAGACUCUGCAAUUUACAAAUUAGAGCUGCUCAA